Molecule: ribosomal RNA, 499 nt
Filed under: uncultured bacterium
Lineage: Bacteria
Description: bacterial SSU rRNA
Rfam family: Bacterial small subunit ribosomal RNA
Source: RNAcentral
GACGCUGGCGGCGUGCCUAACACAUGCAAGUCGAACGCGAACGGGUCUUCGGACCCUAGUAGAGUGGCGCACGGGUGAGUAACACGUGGGCAAUCUACCCAGGGAUUUGGGAUAACCAGGGGAAACCCUGGCUAAUACCGAAUACGUCCAUGAGGCCUUCGGUCCUCAUGGAGAAAGGUGGCCUCUUCUCGAAAGCUGCCGUUCCUGGAUGAGCCCGCGGACCAUUAGCUUGUUGGUGAGGUAACGGCUCACCAAGGCCAUGAUGGUUAGCUGGUCUGAGAGGAUGAUCAGCCACACUGGGACUGACACACGGCCCAGACUCCUACGGGAGGCAGCAGUGGGGAAUCUUGCGCAAUGGGGGAAACCCUGACGCAGCAACGCCGCGUGGGUGAUGAAGGCCCUUGGGUCGUAAAGCCCUGUCUGGAGGAAAGAAUCCCGCUCUCGCUAAUACCGGGAGUGGAUGACGGUACCUCUGAAGGAAGCACCGGCUAACUCCGUG